This 430-nucleotide ribosomal RNA is filed under the name Eulimnogammarus cruentus. RNAcentral describes it as "partial large subunit ribosomal RNA". It matches the Rfam family "Bacterial large subunit ribosomal RNA", at positions 1935 to 2619 of the family's 2925-position model. Lineage: Eukaryota; Metazoa; Arthropoda; Malacostraca; Amphipoda; Eulimnogammaridae. The record is from RNAcentral.
GGUAUUCUGACUGUGCUAAGGUAGCAUAAUCAUUUGUUUCUUAAUUGGUAACUGGAAUGAACGGUUGAGCUGGUUUAGUAGGUGUGUAUAUUUAAAUAAGAGAUUAAAGUCUAGGUAAGAAUUCUUGGAUAUUUUAGGGGACGAUAAGACCCUAUAAGCUUAAUAAAGAUAGUAUUGAUUUUGUUUUUCAGGUUAGUUUAUUUUACUGGGGCGGUACUGGUAUUUUAACUAUUAGUUAAUUUAAGAUCCUUAAAAUAAAGAUGAAACGUAAAAGUUACUUUAGGGAUAACAGUGCAAUAUUUUUGGAGAGAUCUUAUCGAUAAAUAUGUUUGCAACCUCGAUGUUGAAUUAAAAUUUCUACGUGAAGCAGAAGGUAUAGUAGAGGGUUUGUUCAACCUUUAAAUUUUUACAUGAUCUGAGUUCAAACCGG